GGGGCGGGACCUGGGCCCCGGGGACCUGCCGGCUCCCAGGCCCCAGGAAGACGCUGCUCAUGCGUGGAGCGGCCGCAGGAAAGGUACUCCCCGCUAAGGCCUUCAGGGAGCGGCCCUUUGCCCUGUGCGAUCUCUUCCUUCCUUUCCCACGGGUUGCCAAAUCCUGUGACGCUGCCCCUUCUCUGGUGCUUCUCAGAUGCUCUGGUCGGCUCAGGAGACCUCGCAGCUGUUACACAGCUGUGGAAAUACCCUGGGCGCUGCUUCACUCCGAAGGCAGCAGCUGGGUUUGCCUCCCGACUCGACCCGCCACCGAGGCUCCUGAGCACUUGAAAUAUGGCCAGUCCACCUGAGACGGGCUGUGAGUGCGCAAUGCACAUCAAACUUCUAAGACUGAGUGUGCGUGAGCCAUCAUGCCCAGCCAACUGGUUUGUGAUUAAAUGUUUUGAUUGAUGCAGUUUUUGAAAUGUACUGUGUGUACAAUAUUACUCUUUUGAGACAGGGUCUCACUCUGUCACCUAGGCUGGAGCACAGUGGUGCAGUCAUGGCCCACUGCAGCCUCUGCCUUGUAGCCUCAAGUGAUCCUCCUGCUUCAGCCUCCUGAGUAGCUGGGACUACAGUUGUGCACCACCAUGCCCACCUAAUUUUUAUUUUUUUAAAGAUGGG
This 663-nucleotide long non-coding RNA is filed under the name Homo sapiens (human). RNAcentral describes it as "HSALNT0246315". Lineage: Eukaryota; Metazoa; Chordata; Mammalia; Primates; Hominidae. The record is from RNAcentral.